UUCUUGUGAUUAGCAAUCAAGGACAGUUUCUCAGCUAAUCAGCACAGGAAGAAGAGCCUAUGGUAACAGACAAUAAAGGAACAGCUUGCAGACGGCCUAUCGUGAGACUUUGCCUUGUGAUCAUAUUACAAGACUGAAUAAGAUAGACAUGACCUCCUUCCUCCUGGACCUGACAAUUGUUCCUUCAAAUCACUUCCACACAUGCAUUGCCUGGGGACUGGGGACUGGGGUCUGGAUCCCAUGGCCAGACCAAACCCCAAAGGAAGCUAUUGGAGAAUACACACCUUCGAAAUGCGGAGAAAUAUAAGAAAAGGAAGACAAGAGUUCAAGAAGCCAGGCAUCCAACAAUAAUAACUAAAGAGGCAAGGUAAUUCUCAGGAUGAUGUAACAGAAAGUCCAGAUUGGCGAAUGACAAUGAAGAACUACAAGAGGUUUGUACUCUGAAAAGAAGAAGGAAAAAAGUGGAACUCACAGUUUGUCUAAAGUUUUUGACCAUGUUUCAAGGAAGUAUAUGGUUCUGUGCAAAGUUAGCAAAAGGUACAUUAAAAAAAUGAGAAAACAACAAAAUCAGGCAAUUACCAACUAAAAGUAUAAAGAAUUUGGUACAAAAAAGGAAAUUAAUAAUACACUACAUGCUAACUUGUUAACAAUUUUUACAUAGUACCAAUACGAUAAAUACAAUGUUAAUUUCAAACUGCAAUUAAUUAUGCUGGAAGGAUGUGGGAGUGUUAAGAGAGUUAAAUUACAAUCUUCAUAACAGGAAGUCAACAGAUAAUACCUACUGAAUAUUUCUACUUUUUGGAGGGAUGUUGGGUUGGGGAACUACUGUUUCAUUUCCUUAAAGUACUAUUUGGCUUUUUAAAUUGCCUGUGCACAUGCAUAUGCAUACAUAGUCUAAAGUUAAAUUUUUAAAACCA
This 917-nucleotide long non-coding RNA is filed under the name Pan troglodytes (chimpanzee). Its description in RNAcentral is "lincRNA". Lineage: Eukaryota; Metazoa; Chordata; Mammalia; Primates; Hominidae. The record is from RNAcentral.